GACUUGAAUGGAAAUGCGGAGCAGUCCUCAUCUGCUCCAUACAGCGAACUUCCAGGGCGCACGACGGCGAUGUAACUAAUGUUUUCCUCUUGGCAGUGAGGGCCUUCUCUGACACUGAAUUGUUAGAAGAAGGGAGAUGACACCUUCAAACUUUCUGGCUGGGGAGGAAGCCAAAGCUCUCCAUCAGGCCUCCUUUGACAACCAAGUGAAGGAUGUACUGGGCCAUGGCCAUGCCUGCGGAAAGAAUCUCUGGGGAGAUCCAUGAUGGCUUUCCAGAGAAGAGAGCAUGACAGAAGUUUUGCUUCUCAGAAACAUUCCCCUGAGACACAUCUGUGCCAUCUGACAAGAGGAUAAGAUAGAAGAACAGAGCCCGGGCAGCUGCCUCCUGUCCAGGUGAAAUCUGGCAUAAUUAAAUGACCAAGAUCAUCUGCACUAUCUUUCCUAUUGGUCCCCAUUUCUGAAAGGAUGGAAAUGCAUGCCUCUCAACAUCAUCAAAAGAAGACCUUGAGCACUGAAUAUCAUUGAAGAAGGCAGCAAAGGAGUACCAGGAGAAACUCUGUUGUUGUGGGGGAAUUGCUGUGUCCUGAUGGAGGAGUCUGGUCCACACUAGGCACAGACCCUGGAUCCCUGAGCCAUCCUAACCUAAUGCUCCACUGUCUUGGUACCAGGGGAUUCUAGUACUUCCCAUGCCUCUGCCAAAUUCUCCUUUUGGAAUAUCAGGGACAUAGAGAUACUUUUUUAAAAAGCUGUAACUUAAGUUCUUCCUAAAUCAUUAUUUCUCCAAAGUAU
Saimiri boliviensis boliviensis (Bolivian squirrel monkey) is the source of this 789-nucleotide non-coding RNA. The record is from RefSeq and is a predicted model, not a curated record. NCBI's taxonomy places the organism in Eukaryota, Metazoa, Chordata, Mammalia, Primates, Cebidae.